This 254-nucleotide ribosomal RNA is filed under the name uncultured bacterium. RNAcentral describes it as "partial 16S ribosomal RNA". It matches the Rfam family "Bacterial small subunit ribosomal RNA", at positions 524 to 776 of the family's 1533-position model. The record is from RNAcentral.
UACGUAGGGUGCAAGCGUUAAUCGGAAUUACUGGGCGUAAAGCGUGCGCAGGCGGUUUUGUAAGUCUGUCGUGAAAUCCCCCGGGCUUAACCUGGGAAUUGCGAUGGAGACUGCAAGGCUAGAGUCUGGCAGAGGGGGGUAGAAUUCCACGUGUAGCAGUGAAAUGCGUAGAGAUGUGGAGGAACACCGAUGGCGAAGGCAGCCCCCUGGGUCAAGACUGACGCUCAUGCACGAAAGCGUGGGGAGCAAACAGG